UAGAGAUUGUGGAGGAACUUCUUUGGACCAUCGAGAAGCGGGGAAAGAAGUACCAAGAAGAUAUUUCUCGGUUAAAAGCUGAGAAAGUAAAGUCGGACGAUGAGAUCAGCAAUCUUAAGGGGUUGAUUGCUGAUGUGAAGAAGGAUGUAAGCUUGGACGAAGUAACUAUAAAUGAGGCCGAGCAGAAACAGAACGAGGCCGAGCAAAAAUAGGAGGCCGAGCAGGCUACGCAGGGAGCAGAAGAGAAAGCUGUUGUAGUAGAUACUCGGGCUCAAGAGGCAGUUGCACGAGCACUAGCUGAUUAUAAGACUUCCCAGACUUAUGAAGAUGACCUUGCCAACGGGUUAGCUACAACAUACCAAGUCGGCUUUGGGGAUUGCAAGGAGAUGAUUUCUUGGCUACAUCCUAAGAUUGACUUGAGUGGGGUGUAGUCGCCUGAAGAGGGAGAAGAAGAUGUUGCUGCUAUGUAGAUCUUUAGGCUUUUCGCUUUUGCUUAUUUUUGUAUUCGAUUUAUAACUGAAAAUGUAAAAACUUUUGCAGUAAUGAAAUGAACUCCUUCUUUUAUCUCAUAUCUUGACUUCUAUUUUUGCUUUCGAAAUUUUCGAGUAAUAUUGUUGCCAAUAGAUAGUCGUCUCUACUCAAUAAUGUUAAGAUAAUGGUAUGAUAAUCAUCAGGAAUAAACUUUCUCGAUAAACAACCGAUUAUCAUCUAGAGAUGAAAAUAUUCCAAGUAUCUUCCUCUGAAGAUAAUGCGUAAUAGUUGAAAGAUUCAUCGAGAAGUCAUGUCGAUUUUUGAUGGAG
This 800-nucleotide long non-coding RNA is filed under the name Elaeis guineensis (African oil palm). RNAcentral's name for it is "long non-coding RNA (EGUI_LNC001769)". Lineage: Eukaryota; Viridiplantae; Streptophyta; Magnoliopsida; Arecales; Arecaceae. The record is from RNAcentral.